GACGAACGCUGGCGGCGGGCUUAACACAUGCAAGUCGAACGAGAAAGGGUCCUUCGGGACCUGAGUACAGUGGCGCACGGGUGAGUAACGCGUAGACAACCUACCCCAGGUGGGGAAUAACUACGGGAAACCGUAGCUAAUACCGCAUAAUGUCAGAUGGCCGCAUGGCCGACUGAUCAAAGCUUUAUGCGCCCGGGGAUGGGUCUGCGUUGGAUUAGCUAGUUGGUGAGGUAACAGCUCACCAAGGCAACGAUCCAUAGCGGGUCUGAGAGGAUGAUCCGCCACACUGGCACUGAGACACGGCCCAGACUCCUACGGGAGGCAGCAGUGGGGAAUCUUAGACAAUGGGGGAAACCCUGAUCUAGCCAUGCCGCGUGAGUGAUGAAGGCCUAGGGU
Molecule: ribosomal RNA, 396 nt
Filed under: uncultured bacterium
Lineage: Bacteria
Description: bacterial SSU rRNA
Rfam family: Bacterial small subunit ribosomal RNA
Source: RNAcentral